UCAGUUCAGAUUCUGACUCAGAAGUUGUCAUAAAAACACGGAGUAUGGAUGAGUUCAGCCUGGCCGAUACACUGCCAAUAACACCUCAGCAUACAAGCACGCCACAAGAAAGCAUUAACAACAAAAAAUCAUGCUCUCAGACUCGGUGGAUGACCAUCCAGGUACUUCUGACCAUGUUGCGUCACAGAACCGGUGUUACAG
Sinocyclocheilus rhinocerous is the source of this 201-nucleotide long non-coding RNA. RefSeq lists it as uncharacterized. The transcript has 3 exons. NCBI's taxonomy places the organism in Eukaryota, Metazoa, Chordata, Actinopteri, Cypriniformes, Cyprinidae. The record is from RefSeq and is a predicted model, not a curated record.